GACGAACGCUGGCGGCGCGCUUAACACAUGCAAGUCGAACGGAAAGGCCUGCUUUCCCUUGUGGAUUGCGGGUACUCGAGUGGCGAACGGGUGAGUAACACGUGAGUGAUCUGCCCCCAACUUGGGUAUAAGCCUGGGAAACUGGGUCUAAUUCCCGAUAGGACUGCAGGGUGGUGCCUGUGGUGGAAAACGAUUUUCUAGUGGUUGGGGAUGAGCUCGCGGCCUAUCAGCUUGUUGGUGGGGUAAUGGCCUACCAAGGCGGCGACGGGUAGCCGGCCUGAGAGGGUGGACGGCCACAUUGGGACUGAGAUACGGCCCAGACUCCUACGGGAGGCAGCAGUGGGGAAUAUUGCACAAUGGGCGGAAGCCUGAUGCAGCGACGCCGCGUGGGGGAUGACGGCCUUCGGGUUGUAAACUCCUUUCGACCGCGAGGAAGCCUCCUGGUUGGAAGGGUGGUGACGGUAGUGGUAGAAGAAGCACCGGCUAACUACGUG
This 494-nucleotide ribosomal RNA is filed under the name uncultured bacterium. RNAcentral describes it as "partial 16S ribosomal RNA". It matches the Rfam family "Bacterial small subunit ribosomal RNA", at positions 28 to 507 of the family's 1533-position model. The record is from RNAcentral.